GCCAACCAAGACUACAGAAGCAAAU
RNAcentral lists this small RNA (25 nucleotides) under Arabidopsis thaliana (thale cress). RNAcentral describes it as "ATSL076500". Lineage: Eukaryota; Viridiplantae; Streptophyta; Magnoliopsida; Brassicales; Brassicaceae. The record is from RNAcentral.